Bombina bombina (fire-bellied toad) is the source of this 182-nucleotide small nuclear RNA. RefSeq annotates it as U2 spliceosomal RNA. The transcript has a single exon. NCBI's taxonomy places the organism in Eukaryota, Metazoa, Chordata, Amphibia, Anura, Bombinatoridae. The record is from RefSeq and is a predicted model, not a curated record.
AUCGCUUCUCAGCCUUUUGGCUAUGAUAAUGUGUAGUUUAUGUUCUUAUCAGUUUAAUAUCUGAUACGUCCCCUAUCUGGGGACUAUAUCUUUUUGGGGGGGUUUAAAAAAGAAAAAGGAUUUUUUUAGUUCCUUUUGGAAUAAGGACAAGCAAUCCAAGAAGCCUUUCUCUGAGAAUAAAU